CAUUCACGGAGAGUUUGAUCCUGGCUCAGGACGAACGCUGGCGGCGUGCUUAACACAUGCAAGUCGAACGAUGAACCGCUUUCGGGCGGGGAUUAGUGGCGAACGGGUGAGUAACACGUGGGCA
Molecule: ribosomal RNA, 124 nt
Filed under: Streptomyces sp. SID8352
Lineage: Bacteria; Bacillati; Actinomycetota; Actinomycetes; Kitasatosporales; Streptomycetaceae
Description: partial 16S ribosomal RNA
Rfam family: Bacterial small subunit ribosomal RNA
Source: RNAcentral